RNAcentral lists this long non-coding RNA (306 nucleotides) under Homo sapiens (human). Its description in RNAcentral is "non-protein coding lnc-NCOA3-9:2". The record is from RNAcentral. Lineage: Eukaryota; Metazoa; Chordata; Mammalia; Primates; Hominidae.
CAGCAAUAGAAGUGCCCUGGUCUUUGCCAGAACCAAACAGUGGUCACAGCUAGGACCUGCACCGGGGGUCCUGAAUCCACCUUGCCCGGUGCCCAGAUGCCCCUCCUGCUCUCUGGAUGGAGCCCACCCUCAACAAGCACUCCGGCAGGACCAGGUUCCAUGAAGACAAUGCCACUUGGAAUCUGAUAACAAUUGCGGGUCCAGAUGACUCUCGUGGGCAGCAUCCUCCAUGUGGACUCAGCCAUCCAGGUGGCCUCUAUCCUGCAGUGUCCACCUCACAGCUCUGGCACCAUCAUGGUGCAGGUA